AUUGAACGCUGGCGGCAGGCCUAACACAUGCAAGUCGAGCGAGUGGCGGACGGGUGAGUAAUGUCUGGGGAUCUGCCUGAUAGAGGGGGAUAACUACUGGAAACGGUGGCUAAUACCGCAUACCAUCGGAUGUACCCAUAUGGGAUUAGCUAGUAGGUGGGGUAAAGGCUCACCUAGGCGACGAUCACUAGCUGGUCUGAGAGGAUGAUCAGCAACACUGGAACUGAGACACGGUCCAGCCUCCUACGGGAGGCAGCAGUGGGGAAUAUUGCACAAGUGGCGCAAGCCUGAUGCAGCCAUGCCGCGUGUAUGAAGAAGGCCUUAGGGUUGUAAAGUACUUUCAGCGGGGAGGCGUUACCCGCAGAAGAAGCACCGGCUAACUCCGUGCCAGCAGCCGCGGUAAUAC
This 406-nucleotide ribosomal RNA is filed under the name uncultured bacterium. Its description in RNAcentral is "partial 16S ribosomal RNA". It matches the Rfam family "Bacterial small subunit ribosomal RNA", at positions 30 to 526 of the family's 1533-position model. The record is from RNAcentral.